UACGGAGAGUGCAAACGUUGUUCGGAUUCACUGGGCGUAAAGGGCACGUAGGCGGCUCGGCAAAUCGGUCGUGGAAUCUCGACGCUUACCGUCGAAACGGCGGCCGAAAAUACCGGGCUCGAGGGCGUGAGGGGUCACUGGAACUCCUGGUGAAGCGGUGAAAUGCGUAGAUAUCAGGAGGAACACCGGUGGCGAAGGCGGGAUCCUGGGCCAGUACUGACGCUGAGGAGCGAAAGCGUGGGGAGCAAACAGG
This 253-nucleotide ribosomal RNA is filed under the name uncultured bacterium. Its description in RNAcentral is "partial 16S ribosomal RNA". It matches the Rfam family "Bacterial small subunit ribosomal RNA", at positions 524 to 776 of the family's 1533-position model. The record is from RNAcentral.